CUUGAGGAGAAGUUGUCAUUUUAUUUCUCUUCAGCCUCCACUGAAUGCCUUGACUGCUGUUGGAAAGGACAUGACUUUACAGGAGCAGGAGGAACUAACUGAACUGAAACAAGAUCGUGGUUUAAAGCUAAGAUUUGCUGAACUUCCUUUGGACAGUUUUUGGUUGACUGCUGCCAAGGAAUUCCCCAUUCCGGCCAACAAAGUUUUGACAUUGAUCCCAUUUUCCACAACGUAUGUGUGUGAGCUGAGCUUUUCAAGCCUAACUGCUAUAAAAACUAAAAACAGAGAGAGACUGAAAGCUGCUGAAGAGCUUCGUGUAUGCCUUUCUUCAAUUCCUGCCAGGAUAUCGGCUUUAUGUUCAUCUAAACAGGCCCAGGUUUCACACUGAGAAGCUGCCUUAAUCACGAUGAACCCAGGCUACGCAGGCAGGACCGAGCUCCGGGACAACCUGGAGGCCGCUUCAGAUCCGUCUCCAUGAUUGUGCCCGACCACGCCGUCAUCGCAGAGGUGUGCUCGGGUGCCGUCAUUCAUUACAUUAUGUAAUGAACGCAAUAACGGAUGUAUUCUGGCGUGUUACAGAACCGUUUCACGUUGUCUUUUUUGCUGUAGGUGGACUUGUGAGCUGAGGGCUUCAAGUCCAGUGAGACUCUGGCGAAGAAGAUGAUUCAGCUGUAUAAGCUGUGCAGCAAGCAGCUUUCCCGGCAGGACCACUACGACUUCAGCAUGAGAGUCGUCAACUCUGUUAUCGUCAUGGCCGGGUCUCUGAUGCGAGAGAACCCACACCUGAGUGAGAACGUGGUGUUGAUUAGAGCGCUAUGAUACUCCAACCUGCCCAAGUUACUCAAGGAUGACGCAGAACUUAAAAUAAAAUAAACUGAUAAAUAGUAAAGAACGCCAAAGCUUACAUAUGGAGUAUCAAAGGUCAUUAUCACAGGAUCACUGGAAUCAGGCACUAGGAGGAAAUUCCAGGACAAAUUAGGAAAUACAAUUAACUGACAUUUGCAAAUUCUUUGCAACUAAAAAGCUGUAAUUAUAUACUAUAUAACUUUUUUUUAAAGCAUUUAAAGUAUAUAACAUUAGCACCUUGUAAUGUUAUACCAGAUGAAAGUAAAGAAUCCUGGAACAUCUGAACAUCCAUAAUCUGAAAAUCUUGAACCUAGUGUCAAUCGAGUCAAUCCAAUCCUUCUUGUGUGCGUUUAGCGGUAUUCUGUCGGACCUCUUUCCUGGUGUGGGCGUCCCCGAGCACGACUACGGCGUGCUUCAGUCGAACAUCGAGGCAGCUCUAUGUGCCCGCUCCCUGCAGCCCGUCUCCAGCAUGACCGCCAAGGUGAUCCAGCUGUACGAGACCAUGCUGGUGCACCAGGGCGUCUUGCUGGUGGGCCCUACAAGAGGCGGUAAAACCACAGCGUACCGUGCCCUCGCUGACGCACUGCGCACCCUCCACGAGACAGAGGGCUGCGAGGUGAAUCCCUUCUACAAGCCCAUCGAGACCGACGUGCUCAACCCGCAGUCAGUAAGCUUGGACGAGCUGUAUGGUGAAGACGACCCUCUCACACUGGAGUGGAGUGCCAUCAAACCGUCCCUC
Long non-coding RNA from Ictalurus punctatus (channel catfish), 1585 nucleotides. RefSeq lists it as uncharacterized. The record is from RefSeq and is a predicted model, not a curated record. The transcript has 3 exons. NCBI's taxonomy places the organism in Eukaryota, Metazoa, Chordata, Actinopteri, Siluriformes, Ictaluridae.